GAGUGAACGCUGGCGGCAGGCCUAACACAUGCAAGUCGAACGGCAGCACAGAGGAGCUUGCUCCUUGGGUGGCGAGUGGCGGACGGGUGAGGAAAACGUCGGAAUCUGCCUAUUUGUGGGGGAUAACGUAGGGAAACUUACGCUAAUACCGCAUACGACCUACGGGUGAAAGCGGAGGACCUUCGGGCUUCGCGCAGAUAGAUGAGCCGACGUCGGAUUAGCUAGUUGGCGGGGUAAAGCCCACAAGGCGACGAUCCGUAGCUGGUCUGAGAGGAUGAUCAGCCACACUGGAACUGAGACACGGUCCAGACUCCUACGGGAGGCAGCAGUGGGAAUAUUGGACAAUGGGCGCAAGCCUGAUCCAGCCAU
Molecule: ribosomal RNA, 369 nt
Filed under: uncultured soil bacterium
Lineage: Bacteria
Description: bacterial SSU rRNA
Rfam family: Bacterial small subunit ribosomal RNA
Source: RNAcentral